RNAcentral lists this unclassified non-coding RNA (835 nucleotides) under Hevea brasiliensis (rubber tree). The record is from RNAcentral. Lineage: Eukaryota; Viridiplantae; Streptophyta; Magnoliopsida; Malpighiales; Euphorbiaceae.
GUGAGAUUUAUUUCCCUUGUCCAACAUGAACCUUGAUUCCAUGACUCCCUCUCUCCCUCUUUCUUUAGUUUUCUGUUUGUUUUUUCUUUUGAGGCUACUCCUUUGUCCCUGCCGAAGCAAUCGGCCGUCCCUUGCCCUGUUCAAGUUGGGGGAUGCCUUCCUUCUUUACCCGGAGAACUGGUCUAUCCCUCCCACAUCCAGGCUGGGUUUUGUUGGAUUUUGCUUUGUAUGAAGGAGAGGGCUGAUCUGAGAGGGAUCGCGCCACCUGCAUUUUUUGCUGUGUUGGAGAUCUCACAGCGUUGCCUCUGUAACGCCAGUUUUGAUGUAUUUGAUGGGAAGUUUUAGCACUGCAGGGUUCUGGGAGGUCCGCUUCUGUGAAUCAUACCUCCAAAGUCUCUAUCCACCUAUGAAGUGGCUCUGACGUGGAGUUCUGCCUUGCUCCCUCCUAGAAUUGUCGUCGGCGCCCCCAUGGUCUGGUGGUUGUUAGUAGUUGUCUCUUUCUCUUGAUUUUAGCCUCUGCUUUCCGGAGAGACAUCGUGGGUUUGCGAUUGACCCUUUUGUUUACAACUGUGAGACUCUCCGAUGACUGCAUUGGGCUUGGCAUGUAUGCUGAGUUGAAGAGCCUUAUUUCAAGUCAUGGGUUGGAUGUUUUAUGAGUUGGGCUCCAUUAGGUUCUAGGCCUCAGGUGUCUAUUAGCUCUAUUAUAUCUUUUCUUUUAUUAUGGGCUUUGCCCAUAUGUGCUUUUCCCGUUAAUGGUAUCUCCAUAUGUGUAGCAUAAAAAAAAAAAAAACCCAGAACUCGAAGAAGAAGAAAAAUAUAAAAGAAUCGAAUGAAG